UCACUACUCCCUUCGUCCGAAAAAACUUGUCUCAAUCUUGUUUCUCAAAUGAAUGUAUCGCACUAACUUGAUGCUAGAUACAUCCAUUCAAGGGACAAGUUUUUCCGGACAGAGGGAGUACUAG
Triticum aestivum (bread wheat) is the source of this 124-nucleotide non-coding RNA. The record is from Rfam. Lineage: Eukaryota; Viridiplantae; Streptophyta; Magnoliopsida; Poales; Poaceae.